AGGCCAGACUCCUACGGGAGGCAGCAGUAGGGAAUUUUGCGCAAUGGGCGAAAGCCUGACGCAGCAACGCCGCGUGAUCGAGACGCCCUUCGGGGUGUAAAGAUCUGUCAGUGGGGACGAAACUUGACGGUACCCACAGAGGAAGCACCGGCUAACUCCGUGCCAGCAGCCGCGGUAAUACGUAGGGGGCAAGCGUUAUCCGGAUUUACUGGGUGUAAAGGGGGCGCAGACGGCAAUGCAAGCCAGGAGUGAAAGCCCGGGGCCCAACCCCGGGACUGCUCUUGGAACUGCAUGGCUGGAGUACAGGAGGGGCAGGCGGAAUUCCUAGUGUAGCGGUGAAAUGCGUAGAUAUUAGGAGGAACACCGGUGGCGAAGGCGGCCUGCUGGACUGUGACUGACGUUGAGGCCCGAAGGCGUGGGGAGCAAACAGGAUUAGAUACCCCUGUA
This 447-nucleotide ribosomal RNA is filed under the name uncultured bacterium. RNAcentral describes it as "partial 16S ribosomal RNA". It matches the Rfam family "Bacterial small subunit ribosomal RNA", at positions 328 to 792 of the family's 1533-position model. The record is from RNAcentral.